CUACGUCGCUCUCUACCUGGUCACCGUGAGGCCGAUCUGUCCGCCAUGGACUCCGUUGGGCCAUUCUCCUCUCUGUUGGCGGCCUGAAGUUCUCUAGAGCGGCUGCUGCCUAACAAUACCACGUCGGGCAGGAGAGCGGCCACGAUGCCUCCCUUUUUCCUCUCUUCCUCCCCACCAACCACCGAUUGAUGCCGUUGCGCAGCGCCGGCUCCGCUGUCAUGCUCAACAUCGUCUAGCCCGUCACUACUGAUUAGAAGACAGUGAUGGGUAUUACAUGGUUGAUUCAUAGAUUCAGCUACCUGCACUUGAGUAUUAACUUGGACAGUUACUGGUUGAUGCGAAUUGGAUUAGUUAAUCGAGCAUAUACACUGUUGUUGAUUGGAAAUGUUUCUUACAUUUUCAUAGGUACAAUUCAUGUCGAUCCAUUUGCAUCCACUACUAUCUUUUAAGAACUCCACUUUAUAAUAGUUACAUUCUACAGCGUGAAUCUCUAUAUUUGCAUGAAAUAGAUGUGAAUCUGUAUGGAGGAUGCAGUAACUGUAUGGCGCAGAAUUGAGUUGCCGGUUCUGAUUGUUUUGUUGAAGCUGCAUUUACUGAAUGAUGGUCUAUAAUCUUGCUUAUUUAUAUUGAGGGAAACAAGCCAUCAACUACAAACUGGAAGGGAACUUCUGUUAUGUUCUCCGAAUUGCUAUAAGUAUAGAUCUGUUCGUGCGGACAACCUUUGAAGUUCAGGGCUCGACGACCAAAUUGCUAUCAGUAUAGAUCUGUCCGUUCGGUCAACCUUUGCAGUUCAGGGCUCGAUGACCGAAUUGCUAUAAGUAUAGAUCUUUCUGUGUGUCCAACCUUUGAACUUCAGGGCUUGACGACGCCGGGCACGAUAGCACAUGAUCUUUUUUUUUUCUUAUGUACCAAUGGUUAUUGACAGAUUUGAGGUCGUGGCUUUCUUAUUCCAGCAUUAUAUCCUUUAGUUAUCUGGCGAUGUAGCACUUGAUUUCGAAAAUUAAAGCUUAGCAACUUCAUAAUUUUGAACCACGGUGGUGAACUAAGAUAUCUAUCUUUGCCUUAUAAUGUUAACCUGUAUAUGCAGGGUACUAAUGUUUAUGAUAUCAAUGAGUAUCUAGAUUCUCUGGCGGGACUAUGAUGUAACUUUAGGUAUGUACAAGUAUAAUCUUCCGAAUGUGCUUUUCAUGAUUAUUUACUACAGUCUACAGAGUUUUCCUGUUUGGUAUAAUAUAUGCAUCACCAUUCGGGUUUUGUUUUUGUUUUUAGGACGUAAUGUUUAAAUUAUACUUCAGUUCCACUUUCAUGACCAAUUUGAGAUGUAUUCUUCAGGUGGUAUAGUGAAAUUAGUCAGCCCUGCAACUGAGUUAUUAAACAGGUUAUUCUUAUGUCACUCCUGGAACUGUGCAACCAAACCAACUUAUAUACUGCUCCCUUAGAAUUAAUUCGUCACGAUUGUAUUUUCUUUUCAUUUGGAUCUAGAAAAAGACGAUAUCUUAUUUUUUAGGUUCGUGCAAAUUUAUCCUAUAUAAACUUAUACUGGAUGUACUUAUGUGUCAUGUGAAUGAUCCAUGGCACAAAAUAGCUUUACGGUUCACUGAAUUUUUUGUGAGAUUGGCGCUAGACUGUCUAAAGAAACCUUUGAAAACAAAUUGAAAAGGAGACAUGAAUUUCACAAAAGGUUCAUCAGUGCUGCACCCAUUAUACAGCUGAAGUUAACAUAUUGAGGUGGCGACAGUUCUUGAGUUCGAUUCGUUUUACCUUAGAUGCUGUCAUUGUCUGCUCAAAUAGUGAGUACCAAAAAUAUUCUUUCUUUUCUUGGUCAAAGGAAAUUGCAUGAUUGCCUAUUUGGAUUAGCUAGGUAAAGAUUGUUGGGUCGAUCAUAUUUCUUUGGCCAUGCUGAAAUUGAUGGCACACAAGGUGCACAUGCCAAGCAUCUUGCUUGAGCUUUCUAUGCAAAGUUAUAUCUUCUGCUAAAGUUCUGAGAUAUUCUAAUGUGUUCUUGAGAUGUGCUAGCUGUAAUUUUUGGGCUUAAUUUGUAGUCUAGGAUGAUACACCUUCGAUUAAGACUGGACAAUUGUCAAGAGUUCGAUCAGGUGCUGCUCAUCAUCUCCUAGCCAUUUCGUCUAUGAAUAUAUACACAGAUGGAUAAUAAUCUCCUAGCUACUGUUGCUCUUAAUUUCUAUGCUAGACUGACAAUGUCAUUGCUGCUUUUUUAUUUUUGAGUGUUAAGAAAUUCUCAGGUAACGCUAUUUAUGAAUCUUUUUUUGUAUCAAGAAAAGUUUCAGGGCACAAAAUAUGUCUUUAUGGCUCCUGAAUUUUUUUUGUUUUUGAAUAUUUUCCGUUAGCAUACAACAGGCUAAUACUUGAUGCUCAAAUUAUGCAGUUUCGUACAGUCAAAUUAUGCAGCUUCGUACAGUCAACCUUUACCUUAGUGUCUUAAGGAUUAUCAAAACAGCUAAUAUUCUUAUUGUGAAGAUUUAUAUAAAAGGGUAUGGUCUCUGUUCUUCAUUAAUAAAACAUAACCAUUUAUACUAACAUGUAUUUAAUCUCAUAAAAUCUUGACUGCUAUCUGCUAUACUGUUCAUUUAGGCCUUGAGUUUGGAUGGAUUUUGUCUUUCUCCAAGUUUGUGGUUAUAAACCUAGAUCCUAUAAGCCGCCAAGUAAGGGCACUUGCUUAUUUUUGGGUUCAUGGUCUGCUGGACCAUUAAGGACUUCCCUCUCAUAACUUCUACAAGCCUAACUGGUGCCUUCCAGAUCUGAUCCACACAACAUCCUUUUGAUCUUACUUCUCUGCAAAUGGUAUUUGAUGCAGCUAUCAUUUUUGUUAAAUUGUUGUUUUUUCUGCACCGGAUAGUAGCGAGGUACACUCAUUGCACCAAAAGAUACAGAAAAAAUCCCUAAUUCUUAAAGCCCUUAUAGAGAUCGAUGAGUAGAACAUCGGAUAUAUAAGGUACAUUUGUGCUGAAAAUUCGUUUCGGGAUACUGUUCUUGAGGACAUGGUAUUCCUAUUUUGGUGAUGGAAUGCUCAUCAUUAUUUUUCUGUGCAACUAAGUUGGAACAGACUCUUUUGAAAUUUACAAGAAUUAAUUCCAUUUAUAUUUCUUGGCCUUUGGGUGAGUUUGUUUCAUACAAGAAACUUCAUUCUGGGUUGUGGUUUGGCACAAAUUGUUUUCUUGCUCAUUCACAAGUCAGCAUGCUAGGUGAUUCUAAGUUAUUGCUGAUAUUGGAAGAUUUACUCAAGCUAUUGUACAAUCGUGCACUUAUAUGAUGUUGCAGUAUUUUUUGUCAAGAGCUACUAAACUUGCGUCUUAUUUUACGAGGUGCUGAGUUCUUCCUUGGAUGGGAUUGGCACCCAGCAGUUUAGCACUAGCCAGAAAGUUUUGGCGGGACAGUAUUCUUAAUGAGGGCGGCUUCGGAUUAUCUGAACACGAAACAACGACGACAGAAGACUACACUGCCUUUCCGAUGCUGGCACUAGCUUUCUUUCAAUUGCUUUGGGCAGAGCUUGCUCCAGUUCCAGCUCUCCCCGUAUCAAGCAAAGAACUCGAUCAUCAUCAUUUUGUCUGCCGGCGAAUAUAACAAUGCCAACCACUGACAGUUUGAAGACAGGGGAACACCGAGACCAUCCGCCUUAGCAUGCUAAAAAUUUAUAUUCUUGCUAAUUAGUUGAAGUAUACAGUUCAGGAGAUACUGCUUAGGCAACUCAAUCCUAUCUGCUAUCAAUGAGAAAGAAUGUAUGAAUGUUAGUGUCUCUAGCCAAUACUCUCUACGUGGAUCUAUCUUACCAACUAUGUACUCAACUAGGAAUAUAUAAAUUAGUAACAAGUUUAAAAUUA
This is a long non-coding RNA of Lolium rigidum, 3839 nucleotides long. RefSeq lists it as uncharacterized. The record is from RefSeq and is a predicted model, not a curated record. NCBI's taxonomy places the organism in Eukaryota, Viridiplantae, Streptophyta, Magnoliopsida, Poales, Poaceae. The transcript has 2 exons.